This 247-nucleotide ribosomal RNA is filed under the name uncultured bacterium. RNAcentral describes it as "partial 16S ribosomal RNA". It matches the Rfam family "Bacterial small subunit ribosomal RNA", at positions 15 to 252 of the family's 1533-position model. The record is from RNAcentral.
GAUCCUGGCUCAGGACGAACGCUGGCGGCGUGCCUAAUACAUGCAAGUUGAGCGCUGAAGGUUGGUACUUGUACCGACUGGAUGAGCAGCGAACGGGUGAGUAACGCGUGGGGAAUCUGCCUUUGAGCGGGGGACAACAUUUGGAAACGAAUGCUAAUACCGCAUAAAAACUUUAAACACAAGUUUUAAGUUUGAAAGAUGCAAUUGCAUCACUCAAAGAUGAUCCCGCGUUGUAUUAGCUAGUUGG